This 775-nucleotide ribosomal RNA is filed under the name uncultured Arthrobacter sp. RNAcentral describes it as "bacterial SSU rRNA". It matches the Rfam family "Bacterial small subunit ribosomal RNA", at positions 8 to 796 of the family's 1533-position model. Lineage: Bacteria; Bacillati; Actinomycetota; Actinomycetes; Micrococcales; Micrococcaceae. The record is from RNAcentral.
AGAGUUUGAUCCUGGCUCAGGAUGAACGCUGGCGGCGUGCUUAACACAUGCAAGUCGAACGAUGAUCCCAGCUUGCUGGGGGAUUAGCGGCGAACGGGUGAGUAACACGUGAGUAACCUGCCCUUAACUCUGGGAUAAGCCUGGGAAACUGGGUCUAAUACCGGAUAUGACUCCUCAUCGCAUGGUGGGGGGUGGAAAGCUUUAUUGUGGUUUUGGAUGGACUCGCGGCCUAUCAGCUUGUUGGUGAGGUAAUGGCUCACCAAGGCGACGACGGGUAGCCGGCCUGAGAGGGUGACCGGCCACACUGGGACUGAGACACGGCCCAGACUCCUACGGGAGGCAGCAGUGGGGAAUAUUGCACAAUGGGCGAAAGCCUGAUGCAGCGACGCCGCGUGAGGGAUGACGGCCUUCGGGUUGUAAACCUCUUUCAGUAGGGAAGAAGCGAAAGUGACGGUACCUGCAGAAGAAGCGCCGGCUAACUACGUGCCAGCAGCCGCGGUAAUACGUAGGGCGCAAGCGUUAUCCGGAAUUAUUGGGCGUAAAGAGCUCGUAGGCGGUUUGUCGCGUCUGCCGUGAAAGUCCGGGGCUCAACUCCGGAUCUGCGGUGGGUACGGGCAGACUAGAGUGAUGUAGGGGAGACUGGAAUUCCUGGUGUAGCGGUGAAAUGCGCAGAUAUCAGGAGGAACACCGAUGGCGAAGGCAGGUCUCUGGGCAUUAACUGACGCUGAGGAGCGAAAGCAUGGGGAGCGAACAGGAUUAGAUACCCCCGUAGUCC